UUUCUUUUCUUUUUUAUUUCAGAUGCUAUGCUGCUGCAAAUAACCUGAUGUCUUCACUGUGUUGACCCUUUAAGGUCUCAUGCUGUGGUUGCAGGAGAGGCACGAGAUGCCUAAUCCUUUGUCUCCUUUCCCUGAGGACAGAUAAACAGCAGCAGCAGUAAUGGAGCUACACAGUGACUGGCAGUGAUUUCGUGCCUUUCCUGAUGUGCAAGGUUUCGGAAACACUUGAAUGACUUGGGAGUACACAGAGUGGCCACAAUUGAAAGGUGCGUUGGUGUAGAUGAACCGUAAGAUAAGCUGAUGGAGCUCAUCCAGAGCAGCGUCUCGCU
Molecule: long non-coding RNA, 329 nt
Organism: Pundamilia nyererei
Lineage: Eukaryota; Metazoa; Chordata; Actinopteri; Cichliformes; Cichlidae
Exons: 5
Source: RefSeq, a predicted model, not a curated record